This 397-nucleotide ribosomal RNA is filed under the name uncultured bacterium. Its description in RNAcentral is "bacterial SSU rRNA". It matches the Rfam family "Bacterial small subunit ribosomal RNA", at positions 521 to 916 of the family's 1533-position model. The record is from RNAcentral.
UAAUACGUAGGUGUCAAGCGUUGUCCGGAUUUAUUGGGCGUAAAGAGCCCGCAGGCGGCUUGCCAAGUUCGAGGUGAAAUCUCCCGGCUCAACCGGGAGGGUGCCUCGAAAACUGGCAGGCUUGAGGCAGGGAGAGGGAUGUGGAAUUCCCGGUGUAGUGGUGAAAUGCGUAGAUAUCGGGAGGAACACCAGUGGCGAAGGCGGCAUCCUGGCCCUGUCCUGACGCUCAGGGGCGAAAGCGUGGGGAGCAAACCGGAUUAGAUACCCGGGUAGUCCACGCCGUAAACGAUGAGUACUAGGUGUAGGGGGUAUCGACCCCCUCUGUGCCGAAGCUAACGCGAUAAGUACUCCGCCUGGGGACUACGGCCGCAAGGCUAAAACUUAAAUGAAUUGACGG